UGCCAGCCGCCGCGGUAAUACGGAGGGGGUUAGCGUUGUUCGGAAUUACUGGGCGUAAAGCGUACGUAGGCGGAUUAAUAAGUUAGAGGUGAAAUCCCAGGGCUCAACCCUGGAAUUGCUUUUAAAACUUCUGUUCUGGAAUUCAGGAGAGGAAAAUGGAAUAUCCAGUGUAGAGGUGAAAUUCGUAGAUAUUGGAUGGAACACCAGUGGCGAAGGCGGCUCACUGGCUCGAUACUGACGCUGAAGUGCGAAAGCGUGGGGAGCAAACAGGAUUAGAUA
This 279-nucleotide ribosomal RNA is filed under the name uncultured bacterium. RNAcentral describes it as "partial 16S ribosomal RNA". It matches the Rfam family "Bacterial small subunit ribosomal RNA", at positions 506 to 784 of the family's 1533-position model. The record is from RNAcentral.